UACGUAGGGGGCAAGCGUUAUCCGGAUUCAUUGGGCGUAAAGCGCGUGUAGGCGGCUUGUUAAGUCAGAUGUGAAAACCGGGGGCUCAACCCGCGGCCUGCAUCUGAAACUGGCAGGCUUGAGUCUGGUAGAGGAAAGUGGAAUUCCUAGUGUAGCGGUGAAAUGCGCAGAUAUUAGGAGGAACACCAGUGGCGAAGGCGGCUUUCUGGGCCACGACUGACGCUGAGACGCGAAAGCUAGGGGAGCGAAC
This 250-nucleotide ribosomal RNA is filed under the name uncultured bacterium. RNAcentral's name for it is "partial 16S ribosomal RNA". It matches the Rfam family "Bacterial small subunit ribosomal RNA", at positions 524 to 773 of the family's 1533-position model. RNAcentral also lists the same sequence under 1 other name. The record is from RNAcentral.